ACUGAGGACUGCCUGUCCUGCCCCCCCUCCCCCCUAUAAAUUACUGCAAACAGCAUCACCGCCUCCACUUGUACAGCUGAAGAGAGCAGAAAGCUUCCUCCACCUGAGCAGCUUGUUGGAGACGAGCAGCUUGUUGGAAACAGCAGUGAAGAUGAAUCUCCUGCCCUGGAUGAUGCUGGUGUUCCUGCUCUCAGCUGGGACCAGUUUGGCUGAUGUGGACGUGAACUGGCUGGCUG
This is a long non-coding RNA of Micropterus dolomieu (smallmouth bass), 236 nucleotides long. RefSeq lists it as uncharacterized. NCBI's taxonomy places the organism in Eukaryota, Metazoa, Chordata, Actinopteri, Centrarchiformes, Centrarchidae. The transcript has 3 exons. The record is from RefSeq and is a predicted model, not a curated record.